GUGAACGCUGGCGGCAUGGAUUAGGCAUGCAAGUGGGACGCCCCGCAAGGGGAGUCGCGAAAGGGUGAGUAACACGUGAACAAUCUGCCCUGAAGUUGGGAACAACCUUUGGAAACGAAGGCUAAUACCUGAUGUGGAUGGGGCCGGGAUUCCGGCUCUAUAGAAAGGCGCAAGCCGCUUCGGGAUGAGUUCGCGGCCCAUAAGCUAGUUGGCGAGGUAACGGCUCACCAAGGCAAUGACGGGUAGGUGGUCUGAGAGGAUGGUCACCCACACUGGUACUGAGACACUGACCAGACUCCUGCGGGAGGCUGCAGUCGAGAAUCUUCCGCAAUGCGCGAAAGCGUGACGGAGCAAUGCCGCGUGAAGGAUGAAGGUCUUCGGAUUGUAAACUUCUGUCGGGGGGGACGAACAAUGACGGUACCCCCAAAGGAAGCCACGGCUAACUACGU
RNAcentral lists this ribosomal RNA (449 nucleotides) under uncultured bacterium. Its description in RNAcentral is "bacterial SSU rRNA". It matches the Rfam family "Bacterial small subunit ribosomal RNA", at positions 29 to 506 of the family's 1533-position model. The record is from RNAcentral.